Molecule: ribosomal RNA, 442 nt
Filed under: uncultured bacterium
Lineage: Bacteria
Description: partial 16S ribosomal RNA
Rfam family: Bacterial small subunit ribosomal RNA
Source: RNAcentral
CCUACGGGCGGCAGCAGUAGGGAAUCUUUCACAAUGGGCGAAAGCCUGAUGGAGCAACGCCGCGUGCAGGAUGAAGGCCUUCGGGUUGUAAACUGCUUUUAUAAGCGAGAAAUAUGAUGGUAACUUAUGAAUAAGGAUCGGCUAACUACGUGCCAGCAGCCGCGGUCAUACGUAGGAUCCGAGCAUUAUCCGGAGUGACUGGGUGUAAAGAGUUGCGUAGGUGGCAUAAUAAGUAGCUAGUGAAAUCUGGUGGCUCAACCAUUCAGACUAUUAGCUAAACUGUUAAGCUCGAGACCGUUAGGGGUAACUGGAAUUGCUAGUGUAGGAGUGAAAUCCGUAGAGAUUAGAAGGAACACCAAUAGCGUAGGCAGGUUGCUGGGACGGUUCUGACACUAAGGCACGAAAGCGUAGGGAGCAAACGGGAUUAGAUACCCGAGUAGUC